AAGGCGAGAGAAAAGUGUAUACAUAGUACAAACAUAUGUACAUACAUUAGACUGCAUCACCAAAAAAAGUUACGGUUUUUAUUUAUUAUAUUUGAAGACGCCCACCCAAAUGUUUCGGAAAAAUAUUAAGAUUUACGUGAACUGGACCGAUUUGAAAAUACCUUACUUAUUCUUAUUUCAUGUUCAGACCCGGCACAGUGGGAAAUUGUCUACUGAUUUUCUUAAAAAAAAAACUGGAAAAGUAAAUUUUUAAUUGAAUUGGAUAUUUUUUUCUUUGUUAAAUACUCGGAAUGGAUUUUAGAAAAGAUUGUCUAGGCCCGAAUUAAAAAAAAAAGUUGUUUUAAUUCUUAUCAGCAAAUGGUGAAAGUCGGUAAAUAAAAGAAAAAAGGGACCAUCAAGAAACAGGUAAUGUUUCUUGGUGACAAAUUUAAGAUUGUAAAGAAAGCGAAAACGUUUUUAAGAUCUCUGAGUUCGAUUCCGAUGAUAGCAUCGUGAAAUUCAAAAUGACCGAUAAGGCGAAUACUGUUCAACACUCGUAUACUUUGCAUUUUUAUGGAUAAAGUAUGCCAUAUUGAAUUUUCUCAAGUAAGUUUUAAAAUUUAUCUGCCUUUUAAACAAAAAUUUUGUUUUGAAAAAAUAUGUGUUGAAGGGCAGAUGAAUUUUAAAAUCCACUUCUGAAAUAUGCCCUAAAAAUGUGAAAUGUGUCACCAAGAAAAAUAUUACCUCUAGUUUAAUGUUUUCUUUAAUUUUCCACUUUCACCAUUUGCUGAUUAAAAUUAAAACACAUUUUUAAUUUGGGCCUUGACGAUCUUUUCUAAAGUCCGUUCUAAGUAUUUAAAAAAAAUUUGAUUCGAUUAAGAAUUUACUCAUCCAGCGUUUUUUCAACAAAUCAGUCGAUAAUUUUCCACCUUGCCGGGUACUAAAAAUCUAUAGGAUCUGAAGCAAAUCCUAAGAUUGAAGCUCCUCGGGUCUUAUUUUAUCAACACACCGGCAGGUUCUUUGGAAUGGAAAUAAUCCUUAAAUGUUUCAAAACUUUUACAGGUACCACAGCUCACAGCUUAGAAUUGCCUAUCUCAUCUACCGUUCGUUCAUACAAAGGUUCUCAGAAAUUUAUGUGUUAGAAGUGCCGAGAGUGGCUCUAAAAUUAAUGGGAUUCUGAGUUGUUCAUUUUGAGGACCUUUCAUUUAUAAUCGGCUGUGUUUCUUUCGAAACAAUCAAACAUACCAAGACGAAACAGAAGAAAGAGAGAGAAGAC
Rhagoletis zephyria (snowberry fruit fly) is the source of this 1255-nucleotide long non-coding RNA. RefSeq lists it as uncharacterized. The record is from RefSeq and is a predicted model, not a curated record. NCBI's taxonomy places the organism in Eukaryota, Metazoa, Arthropoda, Insecta, Diptera, Tephritidae.